This 585-nucleotide ribosomal RNA is filed under the name Saccharomyces cerevisiae (brewer's yeast). RNAcentral describes it as "eukaryotic LSU rRNA". It matches the Rfam family "Eukaryotic large subunit ribosomal RNA", at positions 68 to 668 of the family's 3401-position model. Lineage: Eukaryota; Fungi; Ascomycota; Saccharomycetes; Saccharomycetales; Saccharomycetaceae. The record is from RNAcentral.
CACGGGUAUGCCUUAGUACGGCGAGUGAAGCGGCAAAAGCUCAAAUUUGAAAUCUGGUACCUUCGGUGCCCGAGUUGUAAUUUGGAGAGGGCAACUUUGGGGCCGUUCCUUGUCUAUGUUCCUUGGAACAGGACGUCAUAGAGGGUGAGAAUCCCGUGUGGCGAGGAGUGCGGUUCUUUGUAAAGUGCCUUCGAAGAGUCGAGUUGUUUGGGAAUGCAGCUCUAAGUGGGUGGUAAAUUCCAUCUAAAGCUAAAUAUUGGCGAGAGACCGAUAGCGAACAAGUACAGUGAUGGAAAGAUGAAAAGAACUUUGAAAAGAGAGUGAAAAAGUACGUGAAAUUGUUGAAAGGGAAGGGCAUUUGAUCAGACAUGGUGUUUUGUGCCCUCUGCUCCUUGUGGGUAGGGGAAUCUCGCAUUUCACUGGGCCAGCAUCAGUUUUGGUGGCAGGAUAAAUCCAUAGGAAUGUAGCUUGCCUCGGUAAGUAUUAUAGCCUGUGGGAAUACUGCCAGCUGGGACUGAGGACUGCGACGUAAGUCAAGGAUGCUGGCAUAAUGGUUAUAUGCCGCCCGUCUUGAACCACAGACCA